AACGCAAAUUGCACUCCCUGGCAUUCCGGGGAGUAUGCCUGUUUGAGGGUCAGUUUAAAUAAAUAUCGUGGUGUUGCUUUUUUGUGACGCUUCGGAAUUGGGUUAUCUUGAUCCCCUCUGGGUUAAGUGACCUAAAAUUGAUGUAUUUCUGUGCAUCUCGGACGUACAUAAGAAUUUUUUUAUCCGUCAGGGUUGCCAGAUCCUUAUUAGGUAUGAUCACGUUGCAUGUGAAAUCCGUACCUAUAACAUAACUCAUAUUUUGACCUCAAAUCAGGUAGGAAUACCCGCUGAACUUAA
RNAcentral lists this unclassified non-coding RNA (297 nucleotides) under uncultured Glomerales. RNAcentral's name for it is "sequence contains 5.8S rRNA gene, ITS2, 28S rRNA gene". Lineage: Eukaryota; Fungi; Glomeromycota; Glomeromycetes; Glomerales; Glomeraceae. The record is from RNAcentral.